UUGCGUCUCUCCGUCACGUCAGCGGGGGUGCGGAGGGGGCUCGGGGCGUCCGCGGCCCCGCUCUGCUGCUCCUAAAGCGGGGAGCCGCAGCUCGCCGGAGCCCGGAAAACUACCCGAAUCUCCCCGGUUCGGAUCAAAACAGCAGUCACAAUACCAGCUGAGCGUCUCCACAGGGGCAGACGUCCAGAAUUAGCCUUCCUGCUCGAUGCUAAUCCUCCUUCACUGCUCCUCAGUGUGGGCUUUUCCCGGUAGAUUUUCAGCCGGACCAAUCAGCGAACAGAGUGAACGAUGACGUCGAUUUUCUGCGCUGUUUUAGAAAAGUGGUCUGCCUGCAGUUUUAGCAAUAUCAAGUCAACAAAGCCAUUCAGUCCGUGUUGGUCGCACUUCCAAAUGUCUAUUUAGCUUCAAUAGCGAUCUAGUUCGGCUCCACAACGGCGAAGAUUGGUUGUUUGCAGCGCAGGAAACUUCCGUCACAUUGAUUACUGCAACCAACCAGAUCCAGAACGCUGCCGCUGAAGUUCUGACUAAAACCAGGAAGUAAGAGAACAUCAGCCCCGUUCCAAAGUCCCUACACUUAGAGAAGAGACGAUUGAUUCAGCGUUUCCAAGUGCUGCGCUGCUGCCGCCGCUGGUAUGAUGGGAAUUGUCUCAGAAAUCUUCAGGUGGAUGCAACCACGGACUCUUCCUGCAGCUGCUGCUGCAGUCUCAUCAUUAUUUUAAAUAGAAAACAGUCAAAACAUAUGCAGACAGCAUGCAUUUCAUGCGAUGUAGUCGGAUAGUUGCCACAAAUCCAGGGCAACCUCUCCUGUAAGGAGCAUUUGCUGCUUGGCAACACAGCUCCACCUGUGCAGAGCGCCGCUGCCACUGCAGACACAAUCACAUUUAUCCUCCCUGCAGGUGCAUGUCAAUAAAUCACAGAAUAUUAUCGGAAAGUUCAUUUAAUUACAAAAUAAAUAUUCCAAGCAUUGUUUCUGUUUAU
This is a long non-coding RNA of Poecilia reticulata (guppy), 978 nucleotides long. RefSeq lists it as uncharacterized. The record is from RefSeq and is a predicted model, not a curated record. Lineage: Eukaryota; Metazoa; Chordata; Actinopteri; Cyprinodontiformes; Poeciliidae.